RNAcentral lists this ribosomal RNA (558 nucleotides) under uncultured bacterium. RNAcentral's name for it is "bacterial SSU rRNA". It matches the Rfam family "Bacterial small subunit ribosomal RNA", at positions 100 to 645 of the family's 1533-position model. The record is from RNAcentral.
GAACGGGUGAGUAACACGUGGGCAACCUGCCCAAAAGAGGGGGAUAACACUUGGAAACAGGUGCUAAUACCGCAUAACCAUAGUUACCGCAUGGUAACUAUGUAAAAGGUGGCUAUGCUACCGCUUUUGGAUGGGCCCGCGGCGCAUUAGCUAGUUGGUGGGGUAAAGGCUUACCAAGGCAAUGAUGCGUAGCCGAACUGAGAGGUUGAUCGGCCACAUUGGGACUGAGACACGGCCCAAACUCCUACGGGAGGCAGCAGUAGGGAAUCUUCCACAAUGGGCGAAAGCCUGAUGGAGCAACGCCGCGUGGGUGAAGAAGGUCUUCGGAUCGUAAAACCCUGUUGUUAGAGAAGGAAGUGCGUGAGAGUAACUGUUCACGUUUUGGCGGUAUCUAACCAGAAAGCCACGGCUAACUACGUGCCAGCAGCCGCGGUAAUACGUAGGUGGCAAGCGUUAUCCGGAUUUAUUGGGCGUAAAGGGAACGCAGGCGGUCUUUUAAGUCUGAUGUGAAAGCCUUCGGCUUAACCGGAGUAGUGCAUUGGAAACUGGGAGACUUGA